CAGUCGCCACGGGAACACGGAGGGAGCUAGCGUUAUUCGGAAUUACUGGGCGUAAAGCGCACGUAGGCGGCUUUGUAAGUUAGAGGUGAAAGCCUGGAGCUCAACUCCAGAAUUGCCUUUAAGACUGCAUCGCUUGAAUCCAGGAGAGGUGAGUGGAAUUCCGAGUGUAGAGGUGAAAUUCGUAGAUAUUCGGAAGAACACCAGUGGCGAAGGCGGCUCACUGGACUGGUAUUGACGCUGAGGUGCGAAAGCGUGGGGAGCAAACAGGAUUAGAUACCCCUGUAGUACCUGUCUCUUAUAC
Molecule: ribosomal RNA, 301 nt
Filed under: uncultured bacterium
Lineage: Bacteria
Description: partial 16S ribosomal RNA
Rfam family: Bacterial small subunit ribosomal RNA
Source: RNAcentral